RNAcentral lists this ribosomal RNA (506 nucleotides) under uncultured eukaryote. RNAcentral's name for it is "bacterial SSU rRNA". It matches the Rfam family "Eukaryotic small subunit ribosomal RNA", at positions 132 to 615 of the family's 1831-position model. The record is from RNAcentral.
CGCGCCGCCGGAUAACCGUAGUAAUUCUAGGGCUAAUACGUGCGAAGCGCCCGAAGCCGCGAGGCGACGGGCGUUCUCGCCGGAUGUAGGAACCGACCCGGGGACCGCCGGGGCAACCCGGCGCCCCCGAGACGGGGCGAACCACGGUGAAAUGACGGAUCGUCGGCCCCGCGCCGGCGACUCGCCGAAUGAGUUUCUGACCUAUCAACUCGAGACGGCGGGGUAGAGGCCCGCCGCGGUAACGACGGGUAACGGGGAAUCAGGGUUCGAUUCCGGAGAGGGAGCCCGAGAAACGGCUACCACUUCCAAGGAAGGCAGCAGGCGCGCAACUUACCCUAAUCUCGAUUCGAGGAGGUAGUGACAAGAAAUACCGAUGCGGGACCCUACGGGGUGCCGCGUUCGGAAUGAGUACGAUUCGAACCACCUAACGAGGAACGAUCGGAGGGCAAGUCUGGUGCCAGCAGCCGCGGUAAUUCCAGCUCCAAUAGCGUACGUUAAAGUUGCUG